CCCUUAGAUGUUCUGGGCUGCACGCGCGCUACACUGAUGCACUCAACGAGUUUACAACCUUAUCCGGAAGGAUUGGGUAAUCUUUUGAACGUGCAUCGUGAUGGGGAUAGAUUAUUGCAAUUAUUAAUCUUCAACGAGGAAUUCCUAGUAAGCGCAAGUCAUCAGCUUGCGCUGAUUACGUCCCUGCCCUUUGUACACACCGCCCGUCGCACCUACCGAUUGAAUGGUCCGGUGAAGCCUCGGGAUUGCGAAUGCUUCGUGCGGACGCGAGAACUUGGCUAAACCUUACCAUUUAGAGGAAGGUGAAGUCGUAACA
Molecule: ribosomal RNA, 316 nt
Filed under: uncultured eukaryote
Lineage: Eukaryota
Description: partial 18S ribosomal RNA
Rfam family: Eukaryotic small subunit ribosomal RNA
Source: RNAcentral